RNAcentral lists this ribosomal RNA (253 nucleotides) under uncultured bacterium. RNAcentral describes it as "partial 16S ribosomal RNA". It matches the Rfam family "Bacterial small subunit ribosomal RNA", at positions 524 to 776 of the family's 1533-position model. The record is from RNAcentral.
UACGUACCGGACGAACGUUAUUCGGAAUUACUGGGCUUAAAGAGUGCGUAGGCGGCUUUGAAGGUGGGGUGUGAAAGCCCACGGCUCAACCGUGGAAUGGCGCUCCAAACCGCAUAGCUUGAGGAAGACAGAGGUGAGCGGAACUGAUGGUGGAGCGGUGAAAUGCGUUGAUAUCAUCAGGAACACCCGUGGCGAAGGCGGCUCACUGGGUCUUAUCUGACGCUGAGGCACGAAAGCUAGGGGAGCGAACGGG